UACGGUAGCUACCUAUGUCCUAUACGUGUAUGUUUAAGUCAGUAGACCACAUGACUUCUAGAGGCUAGGGCUGAGGGCUAUGUCUACUACCAAAUAUGCAUGCACAAUUAUAAUUCUUGUUCUUUUUAUGAUAAUGUGGCCACUCAUCCAAAAAUCAUGGAUUCAAAACAGUGCUUGAUAGAACAUUGAUGAUCAAGAAAUAUUUGUUGAGUGAAUGAAGGAAAUAAAGGAACUAAUCUC
Neofelis nebulosa (Clouded leopard) is the source of this 240-nucleotide long non-coding RNA. RefSeq lists it as uncharacterized. The record is from RefSeq and is a predicted model, not a curated record. The transcript is spliced from 2 exons. NCBI's taxonomy places the organism in Eukaryota, Metazoa, Chordata, Mammalia, Carnivora, Felidae.